This 705-nucleotide ribosomal RNA is filed under the name Lutibacter sp. RNAcentral's name for it is "bacterial SSU rRNA". It matches the Rfam family "Bacterial small subunit ribosomal RNA", at positions 41 to 737 of the family's 1533-position model. The record is from RNAcentral. Lineage: Bacteria; Pseudomonadati; Bacteroidota; Flavobacteriia; Flavobacteriales; Flavobacteriaceae.
GGCAGGCUUAACACAUGCAAGUCGAGGGGUAACAGGGAAGAGCUUGCUUUUCCGCUGACGACCGGCGCACGGGUGAGUAACGCGUAUAGAACCUACCUUUUACAGGGGAAUAGCCCAGAGAAAUUUGGAUUAAUGCCCUAUAGUAUUAUUGAAUGGCAUCAUUUAGUAAUUAAACAUUUAUGGGUAAAAGAUGGCUAUGCGUUCUAUUAGCUAGAUGGUAAGGUAACGGCUUACCAUGGCAACGAUAGAUAGGGGUCCUGAGAGGGAGAUCCCCCACACUGGUACUGAGACACGGACCAGACUCCUACGGGAGGCAGCAGUGAGGAAUAUUGGACAAUGGAGGCAACUCUGAUCCAGCCAUGCCGCGUGCAGGAAGACGGCCCUAUGGGUUGUAAACUGCUUUUAUACGGGAAGAAACCCAACUACGUGUAGUUGGCUGACGGUACCGUAAGAAUAAGCACCGGCUAACUCCGUGCCAGCAGCCGCGGUAAUACGGAGGGUGCAAGCGUUAUCCGGAAUCAUUGGGUUUAAAGGGUCCGUAGGCGGGCUAAUAAGUCAGGGGUGAAAUCCAACAGCUUAACUGUUGAACUGCCUUUGAUACUGUUAGUCUUGAAUUAUAUGGAAGUAGAUAGAAUGUGUAGUGUAGCGGUGAAAUGCUUAGAGAUUACACAGAAUACCGAUUGCGAAGGCAGUCUACUACGUAUA